AAAAAGGUAAGCUAAUAAAGCUACUGGGUUCAUACCCCAUUUAUGAAAGUCCUAAUCUUUCCCUUUUUA
RNAcentral lists this transfer RNA (69 nucleotides) under Olenecamptus subobliteratus. Its description in RNAcentral is "tRNA-Met". It matches the Rfam family "tRNA". Rfam says of the family: Transfer RNA (tRNA) molecules are approximately 80 nucleotides in length. Their secondary structure includes four short double-helical elements and three loops (D, anti-codon, and T loops). The record is from RNAcentral. Lineage: Eukaryota; Metazoa; Arthropoda; Insecta; Coleoptera; Cerambycidae.